CCAGGGGCAGGCAGCGCCAGAGUCAGGAAGAAUUUUAAACUAUCACCUACAGACUCUCUCUCCACUGCAGACCUCGGAUCUCCAUCUCCAACCCAGGCCUCUUGUUUGCUGUCUGGGUACAAUGCCUGCUGGGCUGCUCUGCUUGGAUGUGCCAUGAGCAUCCGGAGUCCAGUGAAACAGAAUUCAUCAUUGUUAGGGAAAAGGAAUGAAAGACAAAGGCUCAUGUUUGCAUGGUGGCUAACCCCAGCAUAGUCCUAAAGUGCUGUUUACCUGCACACAGGCCACCAUAAUACCAAGCCCAUAGAGCUUGAAGCAUGCGCGGAAGGCAACAGAACCUGCGGGGGACUGCAAUAUUAAUUAUGUAAGAAGCGCAGACUGUAAAGAGUGAACCCC
This 393-nucleotide long non-coding RNA is filed under the name Fukomys damarensis (Damara mole-rat). RNAcentral's name for it is "lncRNA (ENSFDAG00000022210.1)". Lineage: Eukaryota; Metazoa; Chordata; Mammalia; Rodentia; Bathyergidae. The record is from RNAcentral.